CGCCGCCCCCGCGCGCGCCUGGCUAGCGGAUUCGGCAACGCGCCGCUCCUUCCAGUUCUCGGCCCGGGCCUCCCCCGCACCUCCCGGGUUUGCCCGCCGCGGGUCCCGGGCGCUGGCCGCAGCUAACCUCGUCAACCCCGAGGACCCGGAGAGGAGGCGCCGCGGUCGAUGCCCGGCCGCCAUGUUUUUUGGAGAUUGCCGCCCGAAAUGACGAGGAGGGGAUCCCGCACAGGAGGGCCUGGACUCGGGGGCAACCAGGCGAGCCCUGCAAAGGGUCAGACGGGGAUGAGGCGAGCCCCAGUGGCACCCAUAAGGCGGGCGGACGCUCAGCUUCGCCUUCACCGACCGCCCUGGUCAGAGGCGCCUAGGGGUAGUGAGGACGGGCGAGCGCCGUGGGCCCAAGGGUCUGGGCUGGUGAUCUUGGGGCUUCUUCCCUCCAACGCCCCAAAGCCACGCGCCCUGGGACCGCCGCUUGCCCUGCCGAUUCCUGGUCGCCCGGCAGCAAGCCUGCGCAUCCUCGGGAGAUGACCUUUCUUUUCUUGGCUAUUGACCUUUUGUACAUUAUAUUUAGUGGCCUAGACCAGCAAAGGAAAAGCCCGGAGUGGGAGGAGGGGAGUGCGACAUUGUGGGCCCCAACCCCACACACGCACACAAUGGGGCAGGGCAGCCAGGCCACAGUUUCCAUUUUUGUUCCUCCCGUCCCCUUUCUGACUGCCAAAUCCGCCUCUCCCUUCCCGUCCCCACGCGCCCACAUUUGCUCUCCCCCACCCCAUCCCUGUGCUGCCUCCUAUUCCUUGUUCCUUUCCGUUUAUAAGUUACAGAUGGACAUACCCAAACUCUGCUGCAUAAUCCUUAAUAGCAGAUCAUUAUAAAAUAUGGUUAAGAACGUUAAAACUGGAGAGUUUAAUCAUAUUAAAAUACCUCCCACCUCCACCACCAAAAUACGUAGACAAUUUCCUUUCCUUUCUCAUCGCCCCCUCCUUUUCCUUUUCUCGAUCUACUGGAGCGGCAGAGACACCUGCUGAUCCAAGAGAAGGGAGGGAGUAAGAAAGGACUGUGCUGCCUAUUAAAAAUAGAGAAUUUCUCGACAUUCAGGUCUUCGGAUUUUUAGGGUGAGACUUCAUAGCUUAAGGUUGAAUGAAUUUUCUGAUCGAGGACACUCAAGAUUCAAAUAUAAGAAUGAUAAUAAAACAAAUCCAAAGAUGAUUUUUUAGUCAUCUGUUGUUUUCUACAUUCAUGUAUUAGUAUAACUCCUAGUUGCAGUGCAUGGGGAGAUGGAGUUGCAUGUUUUUCAAACCCAGAAUUUGUAACAAGCUGAUCUUGAAAUAACCAAUGUAAUAAGUACAAUAGUGUUCCAUAUUGUCUUCAAAAUGAUAGUCUGAUUUCAAUUUGGAAAGCCUUUCUAGUUUUGAUGUAGUUGUUGUC
Molecule: long non-coding RNA, 1425 nt
Filed under: Marmota monax (woodchuck)
Lineage: Eukaryota; Metazoa; Chordata; Mammalia; Rodentia; Sciuridae
Source: RNAcentral